This 590-nucleotide ribosomal RNA is filed under the name uncultured Sordariomycetes. RNAcentral describes it as "eukaryotic LSU rRNA". The stretch from base 217 to 370 matches the Rfam family "5.8S ribosomal RNA". The record is from RNAcentral. Lineage: Eukaryota; Fungi; Ascomycota; Sordariomycetes.
UCCGUAGGUGAACCUGCGGAAGGAUCAUUAAUGUAACCGGACCGGUCCUCUGCCGUAAAACGCAGCGGAUCGGAAAGGGAGAUAUCAUACACCCUAUGUUUAUUUACCUUUGUUGCUUUGGCGGGCCGUCCUUUUAGGCGUCGGCCCCGGCUGAUCGCGCCCGCCAGAGACCCAAACUCUUCUAUUAGUGAUGUCUGAGUACUAUAUAAUAGUUAAAACUUUCAACAACGGAUCUCUUGGUUCUGGCAUCGAUGAAGAACGCAGCGAAAUGCGAUAAGUAAUGUGAAUUGCAGAAUUCAGUGAAUCAUCGAAUCUUUGAACGCACAUUGCGCCCGCUGGUAUUCCGGCGGGCAUGCCUGUUCGAGCGUCAUUAUGACCAAUCAAGCUCUGCUUGGCCUUGGGGCCCGCUGUACCGGCGGCUCUUAAAAUCAGUGGCGGUGCCGGCUGGCUCUAAGCGUAGUAAUACUUCUCGCUAUAGGGUCCAGUCGUCUACCCGCCAGAACCCCCAACUUUCUUAGGUUGACCUCGGAUCAGGUAGGGAUACCCGCUGAACUUAAGCAUAUCAAUAAGCGGAGGAAAAGAAACCAACC